AGGAGUUUGAGUCCCUGGCUCAAGAUUGAAACGCUGGGCGGAAAUGCUUUUACACAUGCAAAGUCGAAACGGCAAGCACGGAACUUUCGGUUCUGGUGGCGAAGUGGCGAAACGGGUGAAGUAAACAUUUUCGGAAACGUAUUCCAAUAAAUGGGGGAUAAACUAUUCGAAAAGGUUGGCUAUUACCGCAUUACGCCCUACGGGGGAAAAGCGGGGGAUUUACGGACCUUGCGUUGGUGGAGCGGCUGAUAUCUGAUUAGCUAGUUGGUGGGGUAAAGGCUCACCAAGGCGACGAUCAGUAGCUGGUCUGAGAGGACGACCGGCCACACUGGGACUGGGACACGGUCCAGACUCCUACGGGGGGCAGCAGUGGGGGAUUUUGGACGAUGGGCGCAAGCCUGAUCCAGCCAUUCCGCGUGAGUGAAGAAGGCCUUCGGGUUGUAAAGCUUUUCGCAAGGGAAGAACACUUACUUUCUAAUAAAGAGUGAG
This 489-nucleotide ribosomal RNA is filed under the name uncultured beta proteobacterium. RNAcentral describes it as "bacterial SSU rRNA". It matches the Rfam family "Bacterial small subunit ribosomal RNA", at positions 1 to 473 of the family's 1533-position model. Lineage: Bacteria; Pseudomonadati; Pseudomonadota; Betaproteobacteria. The record is from RNAcentral.